Long non-coding RNA from Mugil cephalus (flathead mullet), 821 nucleotides. RefSeq lists it as uncharacterized. The transcript has 3 exons. The record is from RefSeq and is a predicted model, not a curated record. NCBI's taxonomy places the organism in Eukaryota, Metazoa, Chordata, Actinopteri, Mugiliformes, Mugilidae.
UUGCAUUUGCGGGAGCCUUAACUAUUUCUUGUGCUGUGACAAAGGGGCUGUGGGUGGAUUCUGGCUCCAUGUGGUCUCCUUGUCUGGUGCGUAUCCUCUCUCGUUGUGCUGGAUCUCUCGUUAUCAGUAGUUUAAUGUAGUGUGGUCACAGGUAAAUGCUGGUAGCGGCUCGCUGCUCUUGCCUCGUCUCACUGGUUGCAUGAACAGGUGCUGUACCAUAAGGAUCAAGUCCAUCACCUCCAUUGGCUCCCUUCCGUCUGCAUGACCUCUGCUGCUUUGUCCUGCUUCAAGUUCCUGUCCGUCCGUGCAGCUGUUUCCCGGCUCGGGUUUGGCUGGCUCCGGCGUGCUGCGGUGCUUUGCUGCCGUCCGUCCUAUUGCGCUGGUCGCCCACCUGUGGUUGGGUCGUUCGCCUUCGCCGCGGCUCGUAGCAGCCCGUUCUCGGCUGCCAGCGUCCGCUCUUUUUUUAGGGCUGACGGCCUGUAGUGGUGUGGGUGAUCGUAGGAGAUCCUCCUGUCUGCUGUGCCGUUUCCAGGGAUGUGGGUCGUUCACGGGUGUGCUCUUUUCACGUGUGUCUGGGGGAACUUUUACUUUGGGGACCCCUCCUUUCGCUUGCCAUAGCUACUUUUAGGACGAAGCCCUUGAUUAACUUUUGUUUUUGCAUUUUCGUUUGUUUGGAUCCUUUGUAUUAAUAAAAUAUUAUUGUGACUAAUUUCAUGGGCCACGUCUCUUGCUUGCCGAGCAACGGACCUGUAUUGUGUAAAACCGAAGAUCUGGUAAUAGUAAUGUCCUUAGGGUGAGUACCUGAGGUGGCGUUGUCUGGC